This is a long non-coding RNA of Alosa sapidissima (American shad), 177 nucleotides long. RefSeq lists it as uncharacterized. The transcript is spliced from 3 exons. The record is from RefSeq and is a predicted model, not a curated record. Lineage: Eukaryota; Metazoa; Chordata; Actinopteri; Clupeiformes; Clupeidae.
UCUCGUUUUUGGACCUUUUUGCGUCUUGCCUUUUUGCAUUUUUGUCGAGGCUACCGCCUACCGCCUCCUAGUGGCCUGACCUAAAAAUAGGCUGAAUGGACUGCUACUGCUGUUGUGGUUAUUUGUUUGCUUGUGUGGUGUUCAUGUGUGUCCUGAACAAUAUAUUCCAUUUUUGAA